Molecule: transfer RNA, 25 nt
Filed under: Peromyscus californicus (California mouse)
Lineage: Eukaryota; Metazoa; Chordata; Mammalia; Rodentia; Cricetidae
Description: partial tRNA-Arg
Source: RNAcentral
UUGGUAAUUAGUUUAAACAAAACAA